AAAAAAGGCUUCUGCCAUGAGUGGUACUCAUAGCCCAGCUUGCUUGAUCUACGUGUGGAACUGGUAUCAAGAGAUUUCAGAAGCAUAAUGUUUUCGCAGUAGGGCAGCUAGUGAUCACUGGUCCUGGUCUCCCAA
This is a small nuclear RNA of Sorex araneus (European shrew), 135 nucleotides long. The record is from Ensembl. Lineage: Eukaryota; Metazoa; Chordata; Mammalia; Eulipotyphla; Soricidae.